Molecule: ribosomal RNA, 492 nt
Filed under: uncultured bacterium
Lineage: Bacteria
Description: partial 16S ribosomal RNA
Rfam family: Bacterial small subunit ribosomal RNA
Source: RNAcentral
AGUGAACGCUGGCGGUAGGCCUAACACAUGCAAGUCGAACGGCAGCACAGUAAGAGCUUGCUCUUACGGGUGGCGAGUGGCGGACGGGUGAGGAAUACAUCGGAAUCUACUUUUUCGUGGGGGAUAACGUAGGGAAACUUACGCUAAUACCGCAUACGACCUACGGGUGAAAGCAGGGGAUCUUCGGACCUUGCGCGAUUGAAUGAGCCGAUGUCGGAUUAGCUAGUUGGCGGGGUAAAGGCCCACCAAGGCGACGAUCCGUAGCUGGUCUGAGAGGAUGAUCAGCCACACUGGAACUGAGACACGGUCCAGACUCCUACGGGAGGCAGCAGUGGGGAAUAUUGGACAAUGGGCGCAAGCCUGAUCCAGCCAUACCGCGUGGGUGAAGAAGGCCUUCGGGUUGUAAAGCCCUUUUGUUGGGAAAGAAAAGCAGCACGUUAAUACCCCGCUGUUCUGACGUUACCCAAAGAAUAAGCACCGGCUAACUUCGUG